UGGGUACCCCUUGGGGUACACCCUAAGAGUUGACCGUCAGCACGAAAUCACUUAUUUAAGCUCCAAAAAUACGUCCCCCAUUUAUAAAACUGGGUACCCCUUGAGGUACAUACACCCUAAGAGUCGACCCUCACAUAUAUAAACAUACUAAUUAGAUGAUGAGCUAGCUAGGGAGGUGGUAUUGAUGCAGAACAGAAGAUCCUGACUGAGGAGUGAUCGCCAUGCCAUAGUAGCAAUCAUAUAGUUUUCCUUAAUUAUUUUUCUUGCUUUUUUAUGUUGUUUUGGUUUUUAGGGUGGACACUUAGAUUAUAAUUUAUAAGACUUUAGUGUUAGAUUCUAUUAAGCUUGAUUUAUUGUUAUUUCAACCUUUUUUAGUGACUUCUUUCGGAUUGUUGUUA
Molecule: long non-coding RNA, 398 nt
Organism: Trifolium pratense (red clover)
Lineage: Eukaryota; Viridiplantae; Streptophyta; Magnoliopsida; Fabales; Fabaceae
Exons: 2
Source: RefSeq, a predicted model, not a curated record